Molecule: transfer RNA, 86 nt
Filed under: Clostridium sp. C1
Lineage: Bacteria; Bacillati; Bacillota; Clostridia; Eubacteriales; Clostridiaceae
Also listed under: 2 other names
Description: tRNA-Leu
Rfam family: tRNA
About the family: Transfer RNA (tRNA) molecules are approximately 80 nucleotides in length. Their secondary structure includes four short double-helical elements and three loops (D, anti-codon, and T loops).
Source: RNAcentral
GCAGGUGUGGUGGAAUGGUAGACACGCUAUCUUGAGGGGGUAGUGGAAGUAUUUCCGUGUGAGUUCGAGUCUCAUCACCUGCACCA